AAAUUGAAAAGGCUGAGAUUUGGGAAGUGCUGAAGGAUGGUGAUUUUGAAACAGUACUCAAUCAGAAAGAAUUUGUUGCCUGGAAAUCAUUCAAACUGG
Molecule: long non-coding RNA, 99 nt
Organism: Limulus polyphemus (Atlantic horseshoe crab)
Lineage: Eukaryota; Metazoa; Arthropoda; Merostomata; Xiphosura; Limulidae
Exons: 3
Source: RefSeq, a predicted model, not a curated record